UACGAAGGGGGCUAGCGUUGCUCGGAAUCACUGGGCGUAAAGGGUGCGUAGGCGGGUUUUUAAGUCAGGGGUGAAAUCCUGGAGCUCAACUCCAGAACUGCCUUUGAUACUGAAGAUCUUGAGUCCGGGAGAGGUGAGUGGAACUGCGAGUGUAGAGGUGAAAUUCGUAGAUAUUCGCAAGAACACCAGUGGCGAAGGCGGCUCACUGGCCCGGUACUGACGCUGAGGCGCGAAGGCGUGGGGAGCGAACGGG
This 253-nucleotide ribosomal RNA is filed under the name uncultured bacterium. RNAcentral describes it as "partial 16S ribosomal RNA". It matches the Rfam family "Bacterial small subunit ribosomal RNA", at positions 524 to 776 of the family's 1533-position model. The record is from RNAcentral.